AACCAUUCUCACCUGCGGCUAGACCUGCGGAAGGAUCAUUACCGAGUGCGGGCCCUCUGGGUCCAACCUCCCACCCGUGUCUAUCGUACCUUGUUGCUUCGGCGGGCCCGCCUGCUGGCCGCCGGGGGGCCUCCGCCCCCGGGCCCGCGCCCGCCGAAGACACCGCCGAACUCUGUCUGAAGAUUGCGGUCUGAGCGAUUUACGAAAUUAGUUAAAACUUUCAACAACGGAUCUCAGAUC
Molecule: unclassified non-coding RNA, 240 nt
Filed under: soil metagenome
Description: partial contains 5.8S ribosomal RNA, internal transcribed spacer 2, and large subunit ribosomal RNA
Source: RNAcentral